GCCAGGCGUGGUGGCGGGCGCCUAUAAUCCCAGCUACUCGGGAGGCUGAGGCAGGAGAAUCGCUUGAACCUGGGAGGCGGAGGUUGCAGUGAGCCAAGAUCCCGCCACUGCACUCCAGCCAGGGAGACAGAGUGAGACUCCAUUUCCAAAAAAAAAAAAGGUAACUACUUUUUGUUUGUUUGUUUGUUUGUUUGUUUGAGACGGAGUCACACUCUGUCGCCCCCGGCUGGAGUGCAGUGGCGCGAUCUCGGCUCACUGCAAACUCCGCCUCCCGGGUUCAUGCGAUUCUCCUGCCUCAG
Molecule: non-coding RNA, 299 nt
Organism: Homo sapiens (human)
Lineage: Eukaryota; Metazoa; Chordata; Mammalia; Primates; Hominidae
Rfam family: Metazoan signal recognition particle RNA
About the family: The signal recognition particle (SRP) is a universally conserved ribonucleoprotein. It is involved in the co-translational targeting of proteins to membranes. The eukaryotic SRP consists of a 300-nucleotide 7S RNA and six proteins: SRPs 72, 68, 54, 19, 14, and 9.
Source: Rfam